CAGUAGCCGCGGGAAUACGGAGGGGGCUAGCGUUGUUCGGAAUUACUGGGCGUAAAGCGCACGUAGGCGGCUUGGUAAGUUAGAGGUGAAAGCCUGGAGCUCAACUCCAGAAUUGCCUUUAAGACUGCCGAGCUAGCAGGUGAGAGAGGUAAGUGGAAUCCCGAGUGUAGAGGUGAAAUUCGUAGAUAUUCGGAAGAACACCAGUGGCGAAGGCGGCUUACUGGCUCAUACUGGACGCUGAGGUGCGAAAGCGUGGGGAGCAAACAGGAUUAGAUACCCCCGUAGUCCCUGUCUCUUAUAA
Molecule: ribosomal RNA, 301 nt
Filed under: uncultured bacterium
Lineage: Bacteria
Description: partial 16S ribosomal RNA
Rfam family: Bacterial small subunit ribosomal RNA
Source: RNAcentral